UUCCCUUUUGCUGGUGCACUUGCCUCUCCAGUUGUCUUUGCCAGGACAGCCACAUCCAUUGGGAAUGUGAUUUUUUUCCCCACUCGGCUGUGCUGGCAACACUUUUCAGUGUAAACCACGCCUAGGUAUGAAAUGGGAGAUAAGAGGUGUCCGGACAAACGGGAGAGCACAAGACAACGCAGAGAGACUGCCUGUCAGCAAGACGCACAGUGCAGCACACAGGAAGAUUUGCAAAGGCAAUCGGGCUGCUUUAGGUUUCAGCAGAGCAACGUUGGGUCAUCAUCACCCUUUUUUCACCCUCCUCACAGAGGAGCCCACCGUUCUGAUUCUGGAUUUGGAUCCACAUGAUGAACUCUCCAAGGCUCCAACCACAGAUCUGAUAGCAGGAUCAAGGUCCUGA
RNAcentral lists this long non-coding RNA (400 nucleotides) under Crocodylus porosus (Australian saltwater crocodile). RNAcentral's name for it is "lncRNA (ENSCPRG00005006642.1)". The record is from RNAcentral. Lineage: Eukaryota; Metazoa; Chordata; Crocodylia; Crocodylidae.